RNAcentral lists this transfer RNA (63 nucleotides) under Aconurella diplachnis. Its description in RNAcentral is "tRNA-Arg". The record is from RNAcentral. Lineage: Eukaryota; Metazoa; Arthropoda; Insecta; Hemiptera; Cicadellidae.
AAACAAAGAAGUAAAAUUUUACAUUUAGUUUCGACCUAAAUUUAGAGAUAAUCUCCAUGUUUU